ACGCCCACCUCUAUGGAUCUUAGCAGCGCACGAGUGAAGCGGCAAAAGCUCAAAUUUGAAAUCUGGCACCUUCGGUGUCCGAGUUGUAAUUUGAAGAUUGUAACCUUGGGGUUGGCUCUUGUCUAUGUUUCUUGGAACAGGACGUCACAGAGGGUGAGAAUCCCGUGCGAUGAGAUGCCCAAUCCUAUGUAAGGUGCUUUCGAAGAGUCGAGUUGUUUGGGAAUGCAGCUCUAAGUGGGUGGUAAAUUCCAUCUAAAGCUAAAUAUUGGCGAGAGACCGAUAGCGAACAAGUACAGUGAUGGAAAGAUGAAAAGAACUUUGAAAAGAGAGUGAAAAAGUACGUGAAAUUGUUGAAAGGGAAGGGUUUGAGAUCAGACUCGAUAUUUUGUGAGCCUUGCCUUCGUGGCGGGGUGACCCGCAGCUUAUCGGGCCAGCAUCGGUUUGGGCGGUAGGAUAAUGGCGUAGGAAUGUGACUUUGCUUCGGUGAAGUGUUAUAGCCUGCGUUGAUGCUGCCUGCCUAGACCGAGGACUGCGAUUUUAUCAAGGAUGCUGGCAUAAUGAUCCCAAACCGCCCGUCUUGAAACCACGGACAA
Molecule: ribosomal RNA, 593 nt
Filed under: Meyerozyma caribbica
Lineage: Eukaryota; Fungi; Ascomycota; Pichiomycetes; Serinales; Debaryomycetaceae
Description: eukaryotic LSU rRNA
Rfam family: Eukaryotic large subunit ribosomal RNA
Source: RNAcentral